RNAcentral lists this ribosomal RNA (203 nucleotides) under uncultured bacterium. RNAcentral describes it as "partial 16S ribosomal RNA". It matches the Rfam family "Bacterial small subunit ribosomal RNA", at positions 1298 to 1500 of the family's 1533-position model. The record is from RNAcentral.
UUGCAGGCUGCAACUCGCCUGUAUGAAGUCGGAAUUGCUAGUAAUCGCGGACCAGCAUGCCGCGGUGAAUACGUUCCCGGGCCUUGUACACACCGCCCGUCACACCAUGAGAGCCGGGAACACCCGAAGUCCGUAGUCUAACCGUAAGGAGGACGCGGCCGAAGGUGGGUUUGGUAAUUGGGGUGAAGUCGUAACAAGGUACC